UGUCAACACAAAACCACAUUCCAAAAUAAAAAUCCAUUUUAAAGCCCCUAAACUUAACCAUUUUCAACCAACCAAGUCAUCUAACCAAACCACAUUCCAAAACAAAAAUCCCUUCUAAAGUCCAUAAAUUUAACCCUUUACGAGCAUCUAAGUGUCAAAACAAAACCACAUUCAAAAAUAAAAAUUCCUUUUGAAGUCCCUAAACUUAACCAUUUUCAGCCAACCAAGUCACCUAACAAAACCACAUUCCAAAAUAAAAAUCUCUUCUAAAGUCCUUAAACUUAACCAUUUUCGAGCAUCUAAGUGUCAAAACAAAACCACAUGUCAAAACAAAAAUCCCUUUUAAAGUCCCUAAACUUAACCAUUUUCAACCAACCAAGUCAUCAAACAAAACCACAUUCACUAACAAAAAUCUCUUCUAAAGUCCCUAAACUUAACCAUUUCCGAGCAUCUAAGUGUCAAAACAAAACCACAUUCCAAAACAAAAAUCCCUUCUAAAAGUCCACAAACUUAACCAUUUUUGAGCAUCUACGUGUCAAAACAAAACCACAUUCCAAAUCAAAAAUCUCUUUUAAAGUCCGUAGACCUAACACUUUUUAAUCAAGUGUCAAAACAAAACCACAUUCCAAAUCAAAAAUCCCUUCUAAAGUACCUAAACUUAACCAUUUUCAACCAACCAAGUCACCUAAAAAAACCAUAUUCCAAAAAAGAAAUCCCUUCUAAAGUCUGUAAACUUAACCAUUUUCGAGCAUCUAAGUGUCAAAAUAAAAUCACAUUCCAAAACAAAUAUCUCUUUUAAAGUCCCUAAACCUAACACUUUUUAUCCAAGUGUCAAAACAAAACCACAUUCCAAAAUAAAAAUCCCUUCUAAAGUCCCUAAACUUAACCAUUUUCAACCAACCAAGUCACCUAACAAAACCGCAUUCCAAAACAUAAUCCCCUUCUAAAGUCCCUAAACUUAACCAUUUUCGAGCAUCUAAGUAUCAAAACAAAACCACAUUCCAAAAUAAAAAUUCAUUUUAAAGUCCCUAAACUUAACCAUUUUCAACCAACCAAGUCACCUAACAAAACCACAUUCCAAAACAAAAUACCCUUCUAAAGUCCCUAAACUUAACCAUUUUCAAGCAUCUAAGUGUCAAAACAAAACCACAUUUCAAACAAAAAUUCAUUUUAAAGUUCCUAAACUUAACCAUUUUCAACAAACCAAGUCACCGAACAAAACCACAUUCCAAAACAAAAUAACCUUCUAAAGUCCCUAAACUUAACCAUUUUCGAGCAUCUAAGUGUCAAAACAAAACCACAUUCCAAAACAAAAAUCCAUUUUAAAGUCCCUAAACUUAACUAUUUUCAACCAACCAAGUCAACUAACCAAACCACAUUCCAAAACACAAAUCUCUUCUAAAGUCCGUAAACUUAACAAUUUUAGAGCAUCUAAGUGUCAAAACAAAACCACAUUCCAAAAUAAAAAUCCCUUUUAAAGUCCCUAAACUUAACCAUUUUCAACCAACCAAGUCACCUAACAAAACCACAUUCCAAAAUAAAAAUCUCUUCUAAAGUCCUUAAAUUUAACCAUUUUCAAGCAUCUAAGUGUCAAAACAAAACCACAUUCCAAAACCAAAAUUCAUUUUAAAGUCCCUAAAUUUAACCAUUGUCAACCAACCAAGUCACCUAACAAAAACACAUUCCAAAACAAAAAUCUCUUCUAAAGUCCCUAACUUAACCAUUUCCGAGCAUCGAAUUGUCAAAAAAAAACCACAUUCCAAAACAAAAUCCCUUCUAAAGUCCACAAACUUAACCAUUUUCGAGCAUCUAAGUGUCAAAAUAAAACCACAUUUCAAAUCAAAAAUCUCUUUUAAAGUCCCUAAACCUAACACCUUUGAACCAAGUGUUAAAACAAAACCACAUUCCAAAACAAAAAUCCCUUCAAAAGUCCCUAAACUAUUUUCAACCAACCAAGUAACCUAACAAAACCACAUUCCAAAACAAAAUACCCCUCUAAAGUCCCUAAACUUAACCAUUUUCGAGCAUCUCAGUGUUAAAACAAAACCACAUUACCAAAAAAAAAAUCCCUUCUAAAGUCCGUAAGCUUAACCAUUUUCGAGCAUCUAAGUGUCAAAAUAAAAUCACAUUCCAAAACAAAAAUCUGUUUUAAAGUCCGUAAACCUAAAACUUUCUAUCCAAGUGUCAAAACAAAGCCACAUUCCAAAACAAAAAUCCCUUCUAAAGUCCCUAAACUUAACCAUUUUCAACCAACCAAGUCGCCUAACAAAACCACAAUCCAAAACAUAAUCCUCUUCUAAAGUCCCUAAACUUAACCAUUUUCGAGCAUCUAAGUGUCAAAACAAAACCACAUUCCAAAACAAAAAUUCAUUUUAAAGUCCCUAAACUUAACCAUUUUCAACCAACCAAGUCACCUAACAAAACCACAUUCCAAAACAAAAUCUCCUUCUAAAGUCCCUUAACUAUUUUCGAGCAUCUAAGUGUCAAAACAAAACCACAUUCCAAAACAAAAAUCCCUUCUAAAGUCCACAAACUUAACCAUUUUCGAGCAUUUAAGUGUCAAAAUAAAACCACAUUCCAAAAUAAAAAUCUAUUUUAAAGUCCCUAAACUUAACUAUUUUCGGACAAGUAAGUGUCAAAACAAAACAACAUUCCAAAACAAAAAUCCCUUCUAUAGUCCACAAACUUAACCAUUUUCGAGCAUCUAAGUGUCAAAACAAAACCACAUUCCAAAAUAAAAAUCCAUUUUAAAGUCCCUAAACUUAACCAUUUUCAACCAACCAAGUCACCUAACCAAACCACAUUCCAAAACAAAAAUCACUUCUAAAGUCCGUAAACUUAACCAUUUUCGAGAAUCAAAGUGUCAAAACAAAACCACAUUCAAAAAUAAAAAUCCCUUUUAAAGUCCCUAAACUUAACCAUUUCCAACCAACCAAGUCACCUAACAAAACCACAUUCCAAAAUAAAAAUCUCUUCUAAAGUUCUUAAACUUAACCAUUUUCGAGCAUCUAAGCGUCAAAAUAAAACCACAUUCCAAAACAAAAAUCCCUUUUAAAGUCCCUUAACUUAACCAUUUUCAACCAACCAAGUCACCCAACAAAACCACAUUCCAAAAUAAAAAUCUCCUCUAAAGUCCAUAAACUUAACCAUUUCCGAGCAUCUAAGUGUCAAAACAAAACCACAUUCCAAAACAAAAAUCCCUUCUAAAGUUCACAAAUUGAACCAUUUUCGAGCAUCUAAGUGUCAAAACGAAACAACAUUCCAUAUCAAAAAUCUCUUUUAUAGACCCUAAACCUAACACUUUUUAACCAAGUGUCAAAACAAAACCACAUUCCAAAACAAAAAUCCCUUCUAAAGUCCCUAAACUUAACAAUUUUCAACCAACCAAGUCACCUAACAAAACCACAUUCCAAAACAAAAUACCCUUCAAAAGUCCCUAAACUUAACCAUUUUGGAGCAUCUCUGUGUCAAAACAAAAUUUCAUUACAAAAAAAAAUCCCUUCUAAAGUCCGUAAACUUAACCAUUUUCGAGCAUCUAAGUGUCAAAAUAAAAUCACAUUUCAGAACAAAAAUCUCUUUUAAAGUCUCUAAACCUAACACUUUUUAUCCAAGUGUCAAAACAAAACCACAUUCCAAAACAAAAAUCCCUUCUAAAGUCCCUAAACUUAACCAUUUUCAACCAACCAAGUCACCUAACAAAACCCUAUUCCAAAACAUAAUCCCCUUCUAAAGUCCCUAAACUUAACCAUUUUCGAGCAUCUAAGUGUCAAAACAAAACCACAUUCCAAAACAAAAAAUUAUUUUAAAGUCCCUAAACUUAACCAUUUUCAACCAACCAAGUCACCUAACAAAACCCUAUUCCAAAACAUAAUCCCCUUCUAAAGUCCCUAAACUUAACCAUUUUCGAGCAUCUAAGUGUCAAAACAAAACCACAUUCCAAAAAGAAAUCCCUUCUAAAGUCCGUACACUUAACCAUUAUCGAGCAUCCAAGUGUCAAAACAAAAUCACAUUCCAAAACAAAAAUCUCUUUUAAAGUCCCUAAACCUAACACUUUUUUUCCAAGUAUCAUAACAAAAGCACAUUUCCAAACAAAAAUCCCUUCUAAAGUCCCUAAACUUAACCAUUUUCAACCAACCAAGUCACCAAACAAAACCACAUUCCAAAACAUAAUGCCUUUCUAAAGUCCCUAAACUUAACCAUUUUCGAGCAUCUAAGUGUCAAAAGAAAAUCACAUUCCAAAACAAAAAUCCAUUUUAAAAUUCCUAAACUUAACCAUUUUCUACCAACCAAGUCACCUAACAAAACCACAUUCCAAAACAAAAUCUCCUUCUAAAGUCCCUAAACUUAACCAUUUUCGAGCAUCUAUGUGUCAAAACAAAACCACAUUCUAAAACCAAAAUCCAUUUUAAAGUUCCUAAACUUAACCAUUUUCAACCGACCAAGUCACCUAACAAAAUCACAUUCCAAAACAAAAUCCCCUUCUAAAAUCCCUAAACUUAACCAUUUUCGAGCAUCUAAGUAUCAAAACAAAACCACAUUCCAAAACAAAAAUCCAUUUUAAAAUCCCUAAACUUAACUAUUUUCAACCAACUAAGUCGCCUAACAAAACCACAUUACAAAACAAAAUCCCCUUCUAAAGUCCCUAAACUUAACCAUUUUCAAGCAUCUAAGUGUCAAAACGAAACCACAUUCCGAAAUAAAAAUCCAUUUUAAAGUCCCCUAAACUUAACCAUUUUCAAUCAACCACGUCACCUAACAAAACCACAUUCCAAAACAAAAUCCCCUUCUAAAGUCCCUAAACUUAACCAUUUUCGAGCAUCUAAGUGUCAAAACAAAAUCACAUUCCAAAACAAAAAUCCCUUUUAAAGUCCCUAAACUUAACCAUUUUCAACCAACCAAGUCACCUAAAAAAACCACAUUCCAAAAUAAAAAUCUCUUUUAAAGUUCCUAAACUUAAUCAUUUUUGAGCAUCUAAGUGUCAAAACAAAACCACAUUAUAUUCUAAAACAAAAAUCCCUUAUAAAGUCCCUAAACUUAACCAUUCUCAACCAAUCAAGUCACCUAACAAAACCACAUUCCAAAACAAAAUCUCCUUCUAAAGUCACAUUAAGCAAGUAAAUCGCCGGUGAAGUCACUAGACUUAACCAUUUACGAGUAACUAAUCCGCCAAACAAGUCACAUUCCAAACAAAAAAAUCACUUAUAAAGUCCCUAAACUAAACCAUGUUCAAAUGACAAAGUCGCCAAACAAACUACAUUCUAAAUAAAAAAAUCACGUAUAAAGUCCCUAGACUUAACCAU
This 5300-nucleotide long non-coding RNA is filed under the name Capsicum annuum. Its description in RNAcentral is "long non-coding RNA (CANN_LNC020444)". The record is from RNAcentral. Lineage: Eukaryota; Viridiplantae; Streptophyta; Magnoliopsida; Solanales; Solanaceae.